AGGGCGAUUCUAACAGGGCCCGCCCCCCUGACGGUACCGUCGACCAGAAACGCCCCGGCUAACGUACGUGCCAGCAGCCGCGGUAAUACGUAGGGGGCAAGCGUUGUCCGGAAUUACUGGGCGUAAAGGGCGCGUAGGCGGCCUGUUAAGUCGAACGUGAAAUCCCCGGGCUCAACCCGGGAACUGCGUCCGAUACUGGCUGGCUUGAAUCCGGGAGAGGGAUGCGGAAUUCCAGGUGUAGCGGUGAAAUGCGUAGAUAUCUGGAGGAACACCGGUGGCGAAGGCGGCAUCCUGGACCGGUAUUGACGCUGAGGCGCGAAAGCCAGGGGAGCAAACGGGAUUAGAUACCCCGGUAGUCCUGGCCCCUAAACGAUGAAUGCUUGGUGUGGCGGGUAUUGAUUUCUGCCGUGCCGAAGCUAACGCAUUAAGCAUUCCGCUGGGGAGUACGGUCAGGGGGGCGGCCCUGUUAGAACCGCCCU
Molecule: ribosomal RNA, 479 nt
Filed under: uncultured Terriglobales bacterium
Lineage: Bacteria; Pseudomonadati; Acidobacteriota; Terriglobia; Terriglobales
Description: bacterial SSU rRNA
Rfam family: Bacterial small subunit ribosomal RNA
Source: RNAcentral